AGGUCCUCCGGCACUGCUGCUCCUCUCCACGCACACUGGAAGUUCUACUAAAUACCUACAGUAAACUGCGAGGCACCGACGACUGGGCGGAGGACGUCCCCGAGGAAGAACUGCAGAAAAACCCCGUCUUCUUCCAGUCGGUAUUCUCACUUUCUCGCAGUCCACGCUCUCUCCAGCACCUGUGUCGCUGUUCUCUGCGCUCACAUCUUGAAGGGAGACUCCCGGAUACACUCCCCAAGUUACCUCUCCCACCUCCGCUCUUGCAGUUUGUACAACUUGGUUUUGAAGGUGUCCUGUACUGAAAGAUAAAGUGGGAGAUAAAACUGUCCGGAGCGCACCCUUUGCUUGUAUUAUAGCAUAUAUUAUACAUAUGUAAUACUGUG
This is a long non-coding RNA of Bufo gargarizans (Asiatic toad), 383 nucleotides long. RefSeq lists it as uncharacterized. NCBI's taxonomy places the organism in Eukaryota, Metazoa, Chordata, Amphibia, Anura, Bufonidae. The transcript is spliced from 2 exons. The record is from RefSeq and is a predicted model, not a curated record.